UAUAUAUUCUAUUCGUUUCAAAAUCGAUUUCCGUGCGAGUACAUUCACUAGUGGAUAAUAUAUUUUUUAUAAUUUGUUUUUGAGGAAGUUUUUUUAAUGUAAAUUUUAUAGUGUUGAUUUUGACAAAUUAUUCAAAAUUUAGAAGAGAGUAUCCAGGUUAGCGCUUUCAAAUCGCUUUAUUGAGAAAAAAAUAUGCGUCUUCCAUUAUUUGGCUUGAUUUUACUUUCCAAGGGAACAGAAAUAGCCGCAUCCUGCUACUUCGUGUUAUUAGGAACCCUUUUGCAUGUAACACGCAUUAGUUUGAUAAAUACUGUAUUUAGUUAUGGUCACCGAUUAAUCCCAAAUGCGGAAUCCGCUAUAUUUUUCGCCACCGUCAUUUCGUUCUUCAGUCGUUUCCAGUUUCGAUAUGCAUACGCAACGUCAAGAGGUUUUGUGAUCACAGUAACAGUAUUCCGCUUUUUGGUUUCGGUACUUUUGACUGAACUUAUUAUGGAUAGUGUCUGGAUUCCCAUAGGAAACUUUAUGUAUCGUACAAUAUUUUAUACUGGGUUUCCUUUUGGCAUAGUUGCCGGAUUUCGGGUACUACGGAUUUUGUUUACGUGUUUGAGUUGCUACACUAUAACCUAUUUCGUUGGACUUUUCAAAUUGGUUUGGUGUCUUAAAAAACUUGGUAACUACGAUAACGAAGAGUAUAGAUUAGUCUAUGGUCCACUUGAAGCUCUACUCUACAAACAUGGGGUUCAAGUAGACUAAAUCAACAAUAUGGUUUGAAGAAGAGGGCGCAUCCCGGGUGAUGCAUGGAUGGUUUUUAAUGAAAAAUAUGCAAAACACAAAAAGAUAGAAAUUGGAAGAUAACAAUAGUCGAACAGGACUUUUUCGUUUUGCUGUCUUGUUUAUCGAUGUAGGAGGUCUAUUACCAAAUGAAUUGCUUAGAGUAUUGCAGAAAGUAUAGACAAUUGCAAAUAUGGACUAACACUUCGUUAUCUUGUUAUUGUAUCAUAGAAAAGACGUGCUUGCCACCCCGUUUCAUAGAAAAAUAUUCUUAUAUCAAGAGGAUCUGCAAAAUUUGGAUGGAUUUUAAGAAAUUUAUUGAAUCAGUUAAACUGGAUACUUUGACAAGUUGUGAUGCUUAAAUUCUAAUGUAAAUUGAUUUAAUUUUCAAUGUAUAUUUUAUAUUUGAAAAAUUAUGCAUUCGUGCUGAUGUUAAAAAAAU
Long non-coding RNA from Teleopsis dalmanni, 1213 nucleotides. RefSeq lists it as uncharacterized. Lineage: Eukaryota; Metazoa; Arthropoda; Insecta; Diptera; Diopsidae. The transcript is spliced from 3 exons. The record is from RefSeq and is a predicted model, not a curated record.